GUCGGUAAAACUCGUGCCAGCCACCGCGGUUAUACGAGAGGCCUAAGUUAACAGACACCGGCGUAAAGAGUGGUUAAGGAGAAAUCAAAACUAAAGCCGAAUAACCUCAAGACUGUUAUACGUUCCCGAGGACAAGAAGCCCAACUACGAAAGUGGCUUUAAUUUUCCCGACUCCACGAAAGCUGUGAAACAAACUGGGAUUAGAUACCCCACUAUG
This 217-nucleotide ribosomal RNA is filed under the name Oxyporhamphus similis (false halfbeak). RNAcentral describes it as "partial large subunit ribosomal RNA". Lineage: Eukaryota; Metazoa; Chordata; Actinopteri; Beloniformes; Hemiramphidae. The record is from RNAcentral.